UGUUGUAAAGUAUUUGUAAAUGGAGUAGAAAAAAUGGCUUUGUUGGUGGCUUCAGGUUGCUUCGCUAGAAAUAGAAAGAGGGUUACCUAGAGGAUGAACUUAACGGAGGAAAAAUAAAAACCCUAGAUAGAAAGAAGAACUUGCUCCUCCUCUGACGGUGCCAGAGCGAGGCUGAGUUUCCCUGGGUGGUGGCUCCACGUGUGUUGGCGGAGAUUGGUCGGCUUCACUAGAGAGUGCGCUGUGCUGCGGGUGGGACAGUGUCGAUGCGCAAAAAAUAGAGCACCAAAGUUGGGCGAGACUGCCAUCGACCGUGAUCUGCCGGUGGAGCCCAUAUCGCUGUUUUCUUCUUCACGCCACCUUCUUGGGUCAUCCUUGACUGCUUCUAUCAUAGAAUCUGCCAUAUCUGCAUUUCUCAGAGCCAUACAUGUUGCAACCUUAAUUUCUGUAAUUGCUUUCAGACGUGAUAGGAACGACAGAAAGCGGGAAUGUUAGGCCGGAACAUCUACUGGAUCUUGCCGACGUAACUAGGGAGGUCAUGGAAUUGCUCCGCAACCUCAGCUAGCAUUUUGUCGAGUAUGUUUUUGAAAAUGUGUUGCUUGGGAAAUAGUCAAUUUGCAUGAAUAUCGUAUCUGUAAGGGAAAGUCAGAUGUUUUGAGAUGAUACUUUGCAUGUAUCUGUACCUGGAUGAUAAGGGGAUUAACUGUUUAUUGUUGUGAAUUAGUGUUAUGCUGUACUAUUUUUUAAUUCAAUCAGGUUGAAUAGUUC
Molecule: long non-coding RNA, 765 nt
Organism: Arachis duranensis
Lineage: Eukaryota; Viridiplantae; Streptophyta; Magnoliopsida; Fabales; Fabaceae
Exons: 4
Source: RefSeq, a predicted model, not a curated record